CAAGGAACCCCCAAGAAUCAACAUUUUUAUUGGGAAAAUGCCCGCCCACUGUCAGGUCUGGGGAGGGGCCGCGGGUCUGCCGCCUUACUCCUGUAGAGUUUAUUUUCGGGAUACGUCCAGAGAAGAUGCCUAGUCUUCCAACUCCCUGCUCCACUGCAGAUCUGACACAUGGUGACCUCAGAGCACCGGGUUUCCAGGGCAGUCUUCUAUCCAGCUACUGUGAGACUGAACAGAGCAGCACCUUCAGGAUGGCCAUUCUCUACAUUAAAUUUGAAAAGCUCAGCGAGACAGAGUUUCACUAAGUCGCUGAGGCCCUCACUAAAUUGCUGAGGCUGGCCUUGAACUUGAGGUGCUCCUGCCUCAGCCUCCUGAGUCACUGGACUACAGAUGUGCAUCACUGCACCCAGCUCUAAGAAGGGCUUCUGAAGGACAGAGGUCUCAGAUCUGCUAUGUGCACUCUUUUCUGCACACCCUCAUCAGAGAAGGGAAAACCAAGGCUUGGAGGCACUGAGGCUUCCCACAGCUGCUGGAGGGAAGUCGGGCUCACUGAGACGCCUGCCUGUUUCUUUUUCGCAUCUCACUGAAUUGCCUCUUGACACACCAGUGCUGAGGUUCUAGGUGACAGAUACAUACAGGUUGCCUCUGUGUCAGACAAAAACCCUAUGAAGAAGAUGCCAUUAGGUACCCUGUUAUACAGAGAAGGAGACAAAGAUACAGAGCGGUGAAGUCAUCUGUCCAAUGUCACACGAUCAGCGAGCAGUGGAGCCUCGGCGGGGACCCAGGAGGCCACAGCUCUUCCCACCAGCUCUGCCAGGGCUCGAGGAAGGCAGUGGCAUUGCUGAGAGCAGUCUCCUCACUGUGACAGGAAAAUCAGACGACCUCAGGGGUUGCUGAGAAGAUCACGUGAGUCGGCCCAGGACUCCAAGAGCAUGACUGUUGUCACGAUCAGUGCUAUGAUCAUCACCAUCACCUUAAACACGACUCUGGAAAGUGACUUUUCUCCAGAUGUUUUUUCAAAUCUGCCUCCUUCCCUCAUUUGAAAAAAAAAAGUACUAAAUAUUAUUUUUACCAACUUCCUGUGAUUUUUCUCCAACUCUAUAUUUUUCCUCCUAGAAGAAACGCUGAUGGUAGAAGGAUUGUUCUUUUCAGAGUCUUCUUUUCUAAAUUCAAAUCCUGUCUCCACCUGACCAGCUGUGUCACCUCAAGCAAGUUACUUAACCUUUCCAUGCCUCAGUUUCUUCAUCUAUUAAAUGGGGAAUAAUAACAAGGUCUGCCUCAUAGGUUCUGGAUCUUUCCAGGCUGCCACCUGGUGAGGUGACUGGAGGACCUAACAAACCAUGCACACCAAGAGCACGCAGCCAAGCUUGGCAUGUAGUUAGAACACGGCAAUGUCAUGGGCCAAGGAUGUAGCUGGUGGCCGAGUGCACCCUGAGGAUGCAGGUGGGGUCAUGGGUUCCAUCUCCAGCACCACAAAAAACAGAGAGAGAGACAGAUGUCAUUAUUGUUGGUGGUGAUGCUAUUUAUGAUACAGUCACAUGAUGGAAAAUGUAAAAGAAUCCCAGCACAGGGGCUGUAAUCCCAGCUACUCAGGGGGCUGAGGCAGGAGGAUGGUAUGGUUAAGGCCAGCCUCAGCAACUUAGUAAAAUCCUGUCUCAAAAUAAAAAGUAAAAAGGGCUGGGGAUAUGGCUCAGUGGUAGAGCUUGCUUAGCAUGUGUGAGUUCAACCCUCAGUACUGGAAAGAGAGAGGGUGGGGGUGAGGGGGGAGAGAGAGAGAGAGAGAGAGAAACGGCAGAAGAUAUAGAAAAAAUGGAUCCAGCACAAGGGCAGACAGCCUUUGGCCCUCUCCUCAGCUGGUGGUUCUGGGUGGAGGUAGGGUUUUUUGGUUUUUUUUAGUUGUUAGUUUUUUGGGGUUUUGUUUUGAAGCAAGGGACAUUUGAAUAGAUGCAAAUGCAAGAAACUUCUUUUGUCCGGUUUGCUUUCUUAGCAUCCUUUACCACAACUGUCAUAAGGGUCCCCGGGUCUUGCCUGUGCUGGGCCAGCGCCUCCCACUUGCCCCCCCUAAAGCACAUAGGCAAUUUCUCCACCAAGAUCAGAGCCUCCUGGAUGGGGAGCAGACUGACGGCCACGCUGCCAGACACCCAGCCUGGGCCCCUCACAGGCCACCACCUUUGCUCAGGGACAGGUGCCAGGAUGAACCCACUGCCUGAGCCGUCUGACCCCAAAGGCAGGGUUCUGGAUCUUUCCAGGCUGCCAUCCUGGUUAACCACACCCCCAGCCCCCUCCCCCCGGGCUCACAGCCAGGCCCUCACCUUUCUGCACCUUGUCACACAACAGGUAGAGCUCCUCGCCCCCCGUGCACGGCCCGCUCUCCUUGUUGAUGCGGCAGAUCCGCAGCUCAGACGUGUUCGUGGAUUCUGGGGAGGAGGGAGAGGAAGAGGCCAAUAAGGGAAAACAAGAAUCCAGGUACCUUUCCACCCAGUGGCGGUGGGAAGGCAGGAAACUGAGGAGGCAGGGCACCCUGGUUCAGAUGGAGGAAGAGGCCACCGGUCGGCCAGCAGUGCCGCUGCUCUGCCUGCCCAGCAGUCCCAGCCCUUCUUCUGUGAAGAGUCCUCUUGGGGACACCACUUUCCCUCAAGACACACCUCCCUCUGCCCCUGGCCAUUUCAGUCAAGGGGAUUGGGUAGGAUUGAGUCCCUUCACCAGCUCAGCAGUGAUCACAAGCCCCAGAUCGGGCCAAUCAGAUCAUCACCUCCCCUACCCACAGCUGAUUGGUCAAGGAGGAGCAAAUGACCAAACGCAGGCCAAUGAGAGACAGCCCUGAGAUUUUUUAGCAAAAAUACUAGGAAAGAGCCAGGAUUAGUAAGGCAGGCCUGUAAUCAGCAACUUGGGAGGCUAAGACAGGAGGGUCCUAAGUUUGAAGCCAGGUUCAGCAACUUACUUAGCCCCAGUCUCAAAACACAAUAUAAAAAAAGGUGUGUUGGUGCAGACCUGUAAUCCCAGUGACUCAGGAGGCUGAGGCAGGAGGAUGGCAAGUUUGAGGCCAGCCUGGGCAACAUAGCAAGAUUUUGUAGCAAAAUAAAAUAAAUAAGAAAGGGCUGGGAAUGUAGCUCCAUGGUAGAACAUCUCUGGGUUCAAUUCUCAAUAUUGAAAAGAAAUUUGGGUGAGAGAUGCUAAAAGCUCUCAUUGGAGUGCAGGAGAGGUAUCAGCACACAGCCCUGGAAGGCCCUGGCAGGAUGGACUCUUAACAUGCAGCAAGCACAACUGGGGGACAGAACUAGAUGGACCCCCCCAGUGACACCGUGAGGUCUGAAUGCAACCAGACCUGAAGCACUGUGCUAGUCCUCUACUGGGUGUUUUGUUUGUUUGUUUUGUUUGUUUUUGGUACUGGGGAUUGAAUCCAGGGAAGCUUAACCACUGAGCUAUAUCCCCAGCCCUUCACUGUUUUUUAUUUUGAGACAGGACUCAGUAAGUCGCUGACCAUCUUACUAAGUUGUUGAGGCUGGCCUCAAACUUGCAAUCCUCCUGCCCCAGCCUUCCAAGUUGCUGGAAUUGCAGGCAUGCACCACUGUGCUUGGCUUGUCCUUCCUCAUUUAGAUGCUGUGGCAGUCACUGCAGGUUGGCUAAAGCCGAACAGCUAUUCCCAAGCUCCUCUUCCAGUCUGUACCCCUCUAUUCAGGUUGAAAAGCCUGUAUACUUACAUACCCAGAUCCCCUUGCAACUCAGUAUGGCCAUGGGACCAAGUUCUAACCAAUAAGACAUCAGCAGAAGCCUUCCAAGGAGAUUCUGGAGAAUAUAAACUUUUUAUCUACUAAAGAAAGAGGUAUGGGGCUGGGGCUGGGGCUCAGUGGCAGAGCGCUUGCCUAGCAUGCAUGAGGCACUGGGUUCGAUCCUCAGCACCACAUAAAGAUAAAAUAAAGAUACUGUGUCCACCUAAAUCUAAAAAAUAAAUUUAAA
This is a long non-coding RNA of Marmota monax (woodchuck), 3954 nucleotides long. RefSeq lists it as uncharacterized. The record is from RefSeq and is a predicted model, not a curated record. The transcript is spliced from 4 exons. Lineage: Eukaryota; Metazoa; Chordata; Mammalia; Rodentia; Sciuridae.